GCCUAGCCCUAAACACAAAUAGUUGUGUAAACAAAACUAUUCGCCAGAGUACUACCGGCAAUAGCUUAAAACUCAAAGGACUUGGCGGUGCUUUAUACCCUUCUAGAGGAGCCUGUUCUAUAAUCGAUAAACCCCGAUAAACCUCACCAUUCCUUGCUAAUACAGUCUAUAUACCGCCACCUUCAGCAAACCCUAAAAAGGUACAAAAGUAAGCACAAUCAUAAUACAUAAAAACGUUAGGUCAAGGUGUAACCUAUGGAAUGGGAAGAAAUGGGCUACAUUUUCUAACCUAAGAAAAUCUAAUACGAAAGUUAUUAUGAAACCAGUAACCAAAGGAGGAUUUAGCAGUAAACUAAGAAUAGAGUGCUUAGUUGAAUUAGGCCAUGAAGCACGC
This 394-nucleotide ribosomal RNA is filed under the name Dama dama (fallow deer). RNAcentral describes it as "partial 12S ribosomal RNA". It matches the Rfam family "Bacterial small subunit ribosomal RNA", at positions 794 to 1384 of the family's 1533-position model. Lineage: Eukaryota; Metazoa; Chordata; Mammalia; Artiodactyla; Cervidae. The record is from RNAcentral.